GGUUGGAUCCCUGCCCUGUGCGGCGACGUCUGACCUUGCUAUCCUCUUCAUUGUUGCCACAAUACGCAUUGGCCGCCCUUUGGUUUCCUGUAUUACGUACCUACUCGAUGGAAUUCGACUGUCAAUCUCUUGCAGUUCGCCAUAGAUGGCCCGUUAGCUCGGUGCGAUCGAGGGUGAAACUCGAAGAGAGAUUCGUGUCCCCCGUACUUCACGUUUCGUGUCUAUUUCGUGGUCCACGAAUUCUCUCUCGGGCGCUGGGAUGCAGAAAACUAUGAGGGCACGGAGUCAUAGGCUCCUGUUCGUCCGCAAAAGGCUUCAUAGCCUAUUUCGAACGACUUCUGUCCCGUUUCGGCCUCGUACCGUGCGGGUCGAUGUCUGUGAGGAAUGCUAC
This 391-nucleotide unclassified non-coding RNA is filed under the name Crusea calocephala. RNAcentral's name for it is "partial external transcribed spacer". The record is from RNAcentral. Lineage: Eukaryota; Viridiplantae; Streptophyta; Magnoliopsida; Gentianales; Rubiaceae.